Molecule: unclassified non-coding RNA, 276 nt
Filed under: Hevea brasiliensis (rubber tree)
Lineage: Eukaryota; Viridiplantae; Streptophyta; Magnoliopsida; Malpighiales; Euphorbiaceae
Source: RNAcentral
GCCAUGAUAUUUUUAUAUGUGCAUAAUAUAUUGUAUUGCCCCUUCCCUAUUGUCUCCCUUGCUGUAAAUGCAUGUACAAAAAUGCUUUUAUUGCUGCAAAUGCAUAAAGAGUAGUUUCCAGAUUGUUGCUACUUUACUUCAAAUCUGCAGGUAUAUGUUGAGGGCAAUUAUUUUGCCUUUUCAGAAUCAUGGUUAUUAAAGACGCGCCUCAGGCAUGUCUCAAGCUCAAGGCUCACCAUGCUUUAACUCUAGCACCUUAUGCGCCUAGGCGUGCGC